Long non-coding RNA from Tigriopus californicus, 1939 nucleotides. RefSeq lists it as uncharacterized. NCBI's taxonomy places the organism in Eukaryota, Metazoa, Arthropoda, Copepoda, Harpacticoida, Harpacticidae. The record is from RefSeq and is a predicted model, not a curated record. The transcript has 4 exons.
CCACCCUGUCAUUCGAAACGACAGUACACUGUAUUAUAUGGACCGUGAAUGAAUUGAAAUGUGAUUUAAGACUGUCAUCGACUGGUGAGAUUCUACUCCGUUCAUCUUCUCACAGAGAUCGGUAGAUGAUCUCAAGAAGAUUUAAGUGAGUCAGUCUACACAUACAGAAACAUCCUUUUUUUAUUGAUCUGUUGAUUUGGGGCAUAUUGAUUAAUUAUUAUAUGCAGCUAGCAAUUCGAGUGCAUUCGCUCGCGUCUUUAACAAUCGGGAGGAUCUGAUUCGGGGUUUUACAACCUUUCAACCCUUCGCCAAGAUCGGAGAUGCUCGUUUGGAAAGUGAAGGGAGGAGCCAAUGCUGACGAGCACCAAACGAGAUCAUCAUUCUACUGCUUGGCUGCGUAUUACGAACCGCAUCGAAUGAGGAAGUAGGAAGUGAGAAGUGCAAGAGCGACGAAGAGCCGUUUCAAAACGAUUUCCUACAUAUGCUGAACUCUGAAACGAGACCAACCACCGCUUGAAAACUGACCAUAGCAUCUGAAAAAAUUGGGCGGGCUGGUUUAGAAACAAAGAUGACAUUUUGGGUCUAUUCUUUCCAAUCUACAGCAAGUGGAGGCCACUAUCAACAAUUGGGAAAAGAUUGAGGUCGGUUAUUCUCAUCGGGGAAUAACAAGCACGUUUUGGGGAUCAAGACUUGUCAUCUAUCCCAUGAACUGAACCAUUGGGCACAUACCCCGCAAAGCCCAUGAAAUCGAAUUAAGGUAUUCCAUUGGUUUUCAACCACUACCAGAUACGGCAUUCUUGACGAACAGCCAGUCGCAAAUCAAGGUUAUCGAGGGCACGUUUGUCCCUCAAAAUCAGGAUAGUUCGGCUCCAUCUUCCACAACAACCAUAAUCAGAGCGAGGGCACGCACAACAACAGCAACAGAAAGAAUGACUAGGAAAAACGAGGCUGAUGGGCCUCAUGUCCUUGACUGAAUGAGUGCGAAGAAGUGCUCUGGUUUGCGUCCCAUCGACCGUACCCUGGCCUAACCCAAUUUUUCUCACUUUAACCCAGCAUGUGGCCGUGCACGGUUGUGGGUACAUUGAAAUUGGGCCAUGGACUGAAGAAUUCCACACUACCACCACCAAAACCACCACCAACAACAACAAACGUCGUUGAACUACCCAACUUGUUUGAGCCUCCUACACUCAUUGACUUACACAGUACAUACAUAGAGACCACACUAACACGACCAAGAUGGUGUUGAACAUGGUGACAUGCUGCUAGAAUGUGGCUGAACCACAUAAUUGGUGCUUCCAAGAGGAGAUAAAAAGAGUGCUAUUUUCAACGAAAUUAGCCAGAAAAACAAUGUCCAUAAACACCAACGACAAAUCUGAGGAGCUCGAUUGUGACAACAUUGAUCAAAUCUUUCACGGACCCUUCCCACGCUUUUCAAAUUCAUUUUUUGAAUUGCCGAAAAGACAAGAUUAGUCAUGUAAUGUUUUGAUGAAACGGGAGAGAAAAUGGUUCAUAAGUAUUGCAACAUUGGGGCUAACAUCAUCGUGAUUGGAGUUGUGGGCAUAAUUUUGUUGGGUUUACUUUAUGUACGUAUAUUGAGUUUGAGUUUCAGUCAGGUGGAGGAUUUGGAUUGACAGAAAACUCGAGGCUCUCGUGUAUUGAAAAAACAUCAGGCCAUGUGAUUCGUAAUCCUACUCUUCAAACUUGGACAGAACUCUGAGGAUGAAGGUUAUCAAGUGAUUGAUUCAUUAUCUACCGAUUUAAAGUUGUAAUCUCACAAACACUAUUUUGAGGAAGAAUCCCUGUGAAAACUAAUUUCCCCGCUUGACUGAUCAUCAUAUUCAAUGUCACUGGAAUCUUCUUGACCAUGCACUGUUUUCAAGGACGGCAUGAAUUUACUCGAUUAAAAGCAGAUUCAAAUUUUAAAGUGUCGUCGUUAUUU